RNAcentral lists this non-coding RNA (26 nucleotides) under Homo sapiens (human). Lineage: Eukaryota; Metazoa; Chordata; Mammalia; Primates; Hominidae. The record is from RNAcentral.
CUGGUGCCAAGUAGUUGAGGUGCAUU